CAACCCUCAGGCCCCCGGCUUGGUGUUGGGGAUCGGCGCGCCCCCGCCCCUGCCGUCCGCGGCACGGGCGCCGGGGCCGCCGCCUCCGAAAUGAAUUGGCGGUCUCGUCGCAGCCUUCCUUUGCGUAGUAACAUACCACCUCGCAACCGGGAGCGCGGCGCGGCCACGGCCGUAAAACGCCCAACUUCUCAAAG
RNAcentral lists this unclassified non-coding RNA (194 nucleotides) under uncultured Clavicipitaceae. RNAcentral describes it as "sequence contains ITS2". Lineage: Eukaryota; Fungi; Ascomycota; Sordariomycetes; Hypocreales; Clavicipitaceae. The record is from RNAcentral.